This 400-nucleotide ribosomal RNA is filed under the name uncultured bacterium. Its description in RNAcentral is "bacterial SSU rRNA". It matches the Rfam family "Bacterial small subunit ribosomal RNA", at positions 359 to 776 of the family's 1533-position model. The record is from RNAcentral.
GAAUCUUGGACAAUGGGGGAAACCCUGAUCCAGCGACGCCGCGUGACCGAUGAAGGCCCUCGGGUCGUAAAGGUCUUUCGACGGGGAAAAUAGUGAUGGUACCCGUAUAAGAAGGAGCGGCUAACUACGUGCCAGCAGCCGCGGUAAUACGUAAGCUCCAAGCGUUGUUCGGAAUUACUGGGCGUAAAGCGAGUGUAGGCGGUCCGUCAAGUUGGUUGUGAAAUCUCCUGGCUCAACUGGGAGGGUGCGACCAAAACUGACGGACUCGAGUCCGGGAGAGGAGAGUGGAAUUCCUGGUGUAGCGGUGAAAUGCGUAGAUAUCAGGAGGAACACCGGUGGUGAAGACGGCUCUCUGGACCGGUACUGACGCUGAGACUCGAAAGCGUGGGGAGCAAACAGG